GACGAACGCUGGCGGCGUGCUUAACACAUGCAAGUCGAGCGGUAAGGCCCUUUCGGGGGUACACGAGCGGCGAACGGGUGAGUAACACGUGGGUGACCUGCCCUCAGCUCUGGGAUAAGCCUGGGAAACCGGGUCUAAUACUGGAUAUGACUCCAUGACGCAUGUUGUGGGGUGGAAAGCCUUGUGCGGCUGAGGAUGGGCCCGCGGCCUAUCAGCUUGUUGGUGGGGGUGAGGGCCUACCAAGGCGACGACGGGUAGCCGGCCUGAGAGGGCGACCGGCCACACUGGGACUGAGACACGGCCCAGACUCCUACGGGAGGCAGCAGGUGGGGAAUCUUGCGCAAUGGGCGAAAGCCUGACGCAGCGACGCCGCGUGAGGGAUGACGGCCUGGUGUAAC
Molecule: ribosomal RNA, 398 nt
Filed under: uncultured bacterium
Lineage: Bacteria
Description: bacterial SSU rRNA
Rfam family: Bacterial small subunit ribosomal RNA
Source: RNAcentral